ACGCUGGCGGCAGGCCUAACACAUGCAAGUCGAACGGUAGCACAGAGAGCUUGCUCUCGGGUGACGAGUGGCGGGCGGGUGAGUAAUGUCUGGGAAACUGCCUGAUGGAGGGGGAUAACUACUGGAAACGGUAGCUAAUACCGCAUAACGUCGCAAGACCAAAGAGGGGGACCUUCGGGCCUCUUGCCAUCAGAUGUGCCCAGAUGGGAUUAGCUAGUAGGUGGGGUAACGGCUCACCUAGGCGACGAUCCCUAGCUGGUCUGAGAGGAUGACCAGCCACACUGGAACUGAGACACGGUCCAGACUCCUACGGGAGGCAGCAGUGGGGAAUAUUGCACAAUGGGCGCAAGCCUGAUGCAGCCAUGCCGCGUGUAUGAAGAAGGCCUUCGGGUUGUAAAGUACUUUCAGCGGGGAGGAAGGUGUUGUGGUUAAUAACCGCAGCAAUUGACGUUACCCGCAGAAGAAGCACCGGCUAACUCCGUGCCAGCAGCCGCGGUAAUACGGAGGGUGCAAGCGUUAAUCGGAAUUACUGGGCGUAAAGCGCACGCAGGCGGUCUGUCAAGUCGGAUGUGAAAUCCCCGGGCUCAACCUGGGAACUGCAUUCGAAACUGGCAGGCUAGAGUCUUGUAGAGGGGGGUAGAAUUCCAGGUGUAGCGGUGAAAUGCGUAGAGAUCUGGAGGAAUACCGGUGGCGAAGGCGG
This 700-nucleotide ribosomal RNA is filed under the name uncultured Enterobacter sp. RNAcentral describes it as "bacterial SSU rRNA". It matches the Rfam family "Bacterial small subunit ribosomal RNA", at positions 33 to 724 of the family's 1533-position model. Lineage: Bacteria; Pseudomonadati; Pseudomonadota; Gammaproteobacteria; Enterobacterales; Enterobacteriaceae. The record is from RNAcentral.